This 647-nucleotide unclassified non-coding RNA is filed under the name uncultured Prochlorococcus sp. Its description in RNAcentral is "partial 16S-23S ribosomal RNA intergenic spacer; may also contain 16S ribosomal RNA and 23S ribosomal RNA". The stretch from base 305 to 377 matches the Rfam family "tRNA". Lineage: Bacteria; Bacillati; Cyanobacteriota; Cyanophyceae; Synechococcales; Prochlorococcaceae. The record is from RNAcentral.
UUGUGGAGGAGGACGCCGAAGGUGGGGCUAAUGACUGGGGUGAAGUCGUAACAAGGUAGCCGUACCGGAAGGUGCGGCUGGAUCACCUCCUAACAGGGAGACAACAAAAUGUUUAAUGUUAUUAUUUUGUCACCUUAGGUCGAUUGGUAUCUCACGUUCUUAAUUUAUUAAGAAUUUCCUUUCCUAAGUUUUUCUAGGUCACACCCAUUAUUUUUCCUGGGCCAUUAGCUCAGGUGGUUAGAGCGCACCCCUGAUAAGGGUGAGGUCCCUGGUUCAAGUCCAGGAUGGCCCAUAUCUCUAUGUUGGGGGUAUAGCUCAGUUGGUAGAGCGCCUGCUUUGCAAGCAGGAUGUCAGCGGUUCGAGUCCGCUUACCUCCACUGAUUACCACCUCUUCCAUAAUCUGUAGAAAGGAAAAAUUUUAGAGUUGUGACCAUAAUUCUGAACGAAUCUAGCUUCCUAAUGAAACCAUUAAGAUGCUGGACUCAUUGAAUUAAUUUCAUUGUUUUCAGAGAACCUUGACAACUGCAUAGAUUAUUUUAAAGACAAUAAGCAUCUUUAAUGAUGCAGAUUUAUUAUUUGUGCAAAUGCAUUAAUAACAAUUCUAUUAAGCUGAUGCUUCAAUUUUGAAGUUAUUGGUCAAGCUACAA